This 928-nucleotide ribosomal RNA is filed under the name Panagrolaimus subelongatus. Its description in RNAcentral is "SSU rRNA". It matches the Rfam family "Eukaryotic small subunit ribosomal RNA", at positions 39 to 966 of the family's 1831-position model. Lineage: Eukaryota; Metazoa; Nematoda; Chromadorea; Rhabditida; Panagrolaimidae. The record is from RNAcentral.
AAAGAUUAAGCCAUGCAUGUCUAAGUACAUGUGUAUUUAACACGAAACCGCGUAUGGCUCAUUAUAACAGCUAAAAUUUACUUGAUUUUGACUUUUAUCCUACAUGGAUAACUGUGGUAAUUCUGGAGCUAAUACAUGCAUAAAAGAUAUUUCAUUUAUUGAAAUAUUGCGUAUAUUAGUAUUAAAACCAAGCAUUCUUCGGAAUGUUUUGUGUUGAAACUGAAUAUAUCAUGCUGAUCGUAUGGUCUUGUACCGACGACAUGUCAUUCAAGUGUCUGAUCUAUCAACUUUCUAUAUAAGUAUAUAGUACUUAUAUGGUUUUGACGGAUAACGGGGUAUUAGGGUACGACUCCGGAGAAAAUGCCUGAGAAACGGCGUUUACAUCCAAGGAAGGCAGCAGGCGCGAAAAUUACCCACUCUCAGUACGAGGAGGUAGUGACGAGAAAUGACAAGAUCUAUUCCUUCGGGGAUGGAUCAUUGGAAUGGUUUGAUUUUAAAAUCAUUAAAGAGUAUCAAUGAGAGGGCAAGUCUGGUGCCAGCAGCCGCGGUAAUUCCAGCUCUCAUACUGCAUUGAAUUGUUGUUGCGGUUAAAAAGCUCGUAGUUGGAUCUGUACAUGAUAGGUUAGUUCAUCCUUUGGAUUGUAACUAAUACUAAAUGUUUUUUAUUAGAUUUUUAUAUGUUUUCUUAACGGAUUGCAUAUAAUGUCUAAUGAGUUUACUUUGAAUAAAUCAGAGUGCUCAAAACAGGCGUAAGCUUGUAUGGUUUUGCAUGGAAUAAUAGAACAUGACUAUGGUUCAUGUUUUAUUGGUUUUACUUACCAUAGUAAUGAUUAAAAGGAACAAACGGGGGCAUCCGUAUCGCAGGGCGAGAGGUGAAAUUCGUGGACCCUUGCGAGACGAACUACAGCGAAAGCAUUUGCCAAGAAUG